UGUUUUCUUCCGGUUUCAUCGGGGUGUUCGCAGGCAGAACAGCUGAUGAGUUGAGGGAUAAAUACAAAAACAUGGAAAAGGAUAAAUAUGAACAGAUGCUAAAAGAUACAAAAAAGAAACAACAGAUGGAAGGAAGCUCGAGAGAUUGCAUGAUGUUGCUCGAUAAUGGAAAAAACAAUAUGCUGGAAGCUGUGCUUGUUCGGAAUGAGUUGCUGAGAAAGACUUUAGAUACAACGGACAUUGCGGUUAAUAUCAUGCAAGCAGAGGAAGAAGAAAAGGAAGAAUAGAUAUAUUUUUUUGGUAACAUUUGCUUGCAACUGUGUUUAAAUCGACUCGUUGAACAUACCUGUAGCUACUAUAUAAUAUUGGUGCGACAAAUGAGUGUAAGCAAACAUUGCAUCA
This is a long non-coding RNA of Medicago truncatula (barrel medic), 402 nucleotides long. RefSeq lists it as uncharacterized. The record is from RefSeq and is a predicted model, not a curated record. The transcript has 3 exons. Lineage: Eukaryota; Viridiplantae; Streptophyta; Magnoliopsida; Fabales; Fabaceae.